GUGUAUUUGUGUGCAUGCACAAUGAUGGAGGAACAGAUGGUGUUUGGUUGCUCCAUGCCAGCAAGCACCAAGCCCCGUCUGUGUGGGACAAAACAACAGGGAAAUGAGAUGAGGAAGCUGUACUGAUGCUUCUGUGGCAGGGCAUAAGACUAAAAUAAGACUAAAUAGCAGACACUAGUCUUGACAAGACUGGUCUAGAAACACACCCCAGAGAGUCUCACAGAGCUGCUUUACUGUUCUUCAAACACACACUUCCACUAAAGGAACAGAGUACAAACAACAGCCUUUAGUUCAUAUAUCCAUUCUCAUAUUACAAAUGUCAAGCUGUCCAGCCCUGACAGUUUAAUAUCCUGCCCAGGGUCUUUUUCUCUGUGAUUGAAGAUGGUUUCUUCCACAGCUGUGUAAUAAGAGUACACAUGUUUCAGUGUGUGAGAAAGAGGAAAGUCUCCAUCUAGAGUACAAACAGGGCAGUAUUA
Molecule: long non-coding RNA, 476 nt
Filed under: Carassius auratus (goldfish)
Lineage: Eukaryota; Metazoa; Chordata; Actinopteri; Cypriniformes; Cyprinidae
Description: lncRNA (ENSCARG00000024281.1)
Source: RNAcentral